CCUACGGGAGGCAGCAGUGAGGAAUAUUGGUCAAUGGGCGCGAGGCUGAACCAGCCAAGUAGCGUGAGGGAUGAAUGCCCUACGGGUUGUAAACUUCUUUUAUCAAGGAGUAAAGUGAGGCACGUGUGCCUGUUGGUGUGUACUUUAUGAAUAAGGAUCGGCUAACUCCGUGCCAGCAGCCGCGGUAAUACGGAGGAUCCGAGCGUUAUCCGGAUUUAUUGGGUUUAAAGGGAGCGUAGAUGGGUUGUUAAGUCAGUUGUGAAAGUUUGCGGCUCAACCGUAAAAUUGCAAUUGAUACUGGCAGUCUUGAGUACAGUUGAGGUAGGCGGAAUUCGUGGUGUAGCGGUGAAAUGCUUAGAUAUCACGAAGAACUCCGAUUGCGAAGGCAGCUUACUAAACUGCCACUGACACUGAUGCUCGAAAGUGUGGGUAUCAAACAGGAUUAGAUACCCUUGUAGUC
Molecule: ribosomal RNA, 460 nt
Filed under: uncultured bacterium
Lineage: Bacteria
Description: partial 16S ribosomal RNA
Rfam family: Bacterial small subunit ribosomal RNA
Source: RNAcentral